GCGAGCGUAGUUCAGUGGUAGAACGCUGUCCUGAUAAGACAGAGGCCGAAGGUCCGAUUCCUUCCGCUCGCACCA
This 75-nucleotide transfer RNA is filed under the name bacterium. RNAcentral's name for it is "tRNA-Ile". It matches the Rfam family "tRNA". From Rfam's summary of the family: Transfer RNA (tRNA) molecules are approximately 80 nucleotides in length. Their secondary structure includes four short double-helical elements and three loops (D, anti-codon, and T loops). Further hydrogen bonds mediate the characteristic L-shaped molecular structure. tRNAs have two regions of fundamental functional importance: the anti-codon, which is responsible for specific mRNA codon recognition, and the 3' end, to which the tRNAs corresponding amino acid is attached (by aminoacyl-tRNA synthetases). tRNAs cope with the degeneracy of the genetic code in two manners: having more than one tRNA (with a specific anti-codon) for a particular amino acid; and 'wobble' base-pairing, i.e. permitting non-standard base-pairing at the 3rd anti-codon position. The record is from RNAcentral.